UACAGAGGUCUCAAGCGUUGUUCGGAUUCAUUGGGCGUAAAGGGCGCGUAGGCGGCCAGCACAAGUCAGUUGUGAAAUCUCCGGGCUUAACUCGGAAAGGUCAACUGAUACUGUGCGACUAGAGUGCAGAAGGGGCAACUGGAAUUCUCGGUGUAGCGGUGAAAUGCGUAGAUAUCGAGAGGAACACCUGCGGCGAAGGCGGGUUGCUGGGCUGACACUGACGCUGAGGCGCGAAAGCCAGGGGAGCGAACGGG
Molecule: ribosomal RNA, 254 nt
Filed under: uncultured bacterium
Lineage: Bacteria
Description: partial 16S ribosomal RNA
Rfam family: Bacterial small subunit ribosomal RNA
Source: RNAcentral